CAUCACCCACUUGUGCACUACAAAACCAGUUUCUCUGAUAUGCAGAAGGAAUUCUGGCCAGCAAAUGCCACCAACACUUGACAACUUGAAAUGCUGAAUAGCUUAAGUGGUCAAAGAGCGUUACUUCUCUUCCCAUCCUUGAUGAUGAAGUUGGGCAUCCCUACUAUGUAGCAAAGGAUGCUGUUUCCAACACUCCACUACUUGAAGAUAUGGCAUGGAAUGGAGGACUUCCUGGCCAGUGUGAGAAAUAUGGUGUGAGACCCUGGGCUGAGAUCCUGCCAUUGAAGUCCAUGGCAUCUCUCCAGCUUUUCAGCAUGUUCAGACUUCCACUGGUGAGAUCAGUGCAAAAUAAUGAUG
Long non-coding RNA from Passer domesticus (house sparrow), 357 nucleotides. RefSeq lists it as uncharacterized. The record is from RefSeq and is a predicted model, not a curated record. The transcript is spliced from 3 exons. NCBI's taxonomy places the organism in Eukaryota, Metazoa, Chordata, Aves, Passeriformes, Passeridae.